GAUGAACGCUGACAGAAUGCUUAACACAUGCAAGUCGAUGGGGAAGUGGUGCUUGCACCAUGGUAACCAUGGCGGACGGGUGAGUAACGCGUAAGGAACUUACCUGCGGGACCGGGAUAACAGCAGGAAACUGCUGACAAGACCGGAUAAGGUCAUUAAGCUGCAUAGCUUAGUGAUGAAAGGAGACGCCUGCGGAGAGCCUUGCGUUCUAUUAGCUAGUUGGAGGGGUAACGGCCCACCAAGGCGAAGAUAGGUAGCCGGCCUGAGAGGGUGGACGGCCACAAGGGGACUGAGAUACGGCCCUUACUCCUACGGGAGGCAGCAGUGGGGAAUAUUGGACAAUGGGGGCAACCCUGAUCCAGCAAUUCUGUGUGCACGAAGACGGUUUUCGGAUUGUAAAGUGCUUUCAGCAGGGAAGAAGGAAGUGACGGUACCUGCAGAAGAAGCGACGGCUAAAUACGUG
RNAcentral lists this ribosomal RNA (463 nucleotides) under uncultured bacterium. Its description in RNAcentral is "partial 16S ribosomal RNA". It matches the Rfam family "Bacterial small subunit ribosomal RNA", at positions 28 to 507 of the family's 1533-position model. The record is from RNAcentral.